Lingula anatina is the source of this 952-nucleotide long non-coding RNA. Lineage: Eukaryota; Metazoa; Brachiopoda; Lingulata; Lingulida; Lingulidae. The record is from RefSeq and is a predicted model, not a curated record.
GUUAUAAUGAGAAGGAGUAGAAACGGGACAUCAAUUAUCUCUCUCGUCCAAUCAGAUCGCAGCAUUCUUUUCAAAGCGGCGUCCUUUGAAAUUCGAUCCUCGUAACUGGUCUAAUCCUCCGCUCGCCUCCGCGUGACUCAAGACGGAGAAGCUGAACCAGUGCGUAUACGUCUUGAUUUAUUCAUGUUUAAUGCGAAUAUUUGGAAGUUAUACUUAGAAAAACGCCAAGUCGAGCGAUAUAAAGGUUGAAGAGAAUGCAGGUGAAAGAUCUUUAGUUUUGCUGGCAGAUGUACAUGUAGCCAUAAUUGAACAGUCAAAAUGAUUGUUUCCAGCAGCAACUUGAUGAGGCACAAGGCUCUGUUUUCUUACCACCACUAAUAUUAAACUAUAGUGCACAAGAGGUGCAAGUUUUAAAAGGGAAUUUAGUGGUCCAAGUUUUAAAAGGGAAUUUAGUGUUCACUGGCUAAUUGUCUAAAGUAUAAAAUAAAAUAAUCACCACAUCAAAAUAAAAACUAACCAUUUUUGUAUUGCUUUAAUCACUGUUGGGUGUAACAAUAUUGAUAUAUUUUCAUUGCUGGUACUUUGUUUUAGAUAAUAUACAAGUUGCUCGAAUGUUGAAAUAAAGCAAUAUCAAUCAAUAAAAAUAUUUCUUUGUUUUUUUCUUCUAAUGAAUUUAAACUAUCAGUCUACUAUUAGUUGGCCUCAUGUAAUAGACAAAGAUAUAAACAAAAAUAUGUAUUGAUGAAAUUUCAUUUAGAAUCAUACUAAGUGCAAUAACUUAUUUACAUUUCCCCAAUUUUCCUGUUUAAGCUCUACCUGGUAUAUAAGCAAUAAUGUGCCAAAAAAGAAAGAAACGAGGCUGGCAUACGGAAAUUGCAAGUACUACUGUUUUGUGUACACGGCUGUGAAUUGAAUGUGUCAUUCCUAGAUGAAGGUAAAUUUCCUUUACACG